This is a small nuclear RNA of Mustela putorius furo (domestic ferret), 106 nucleotides long. NCBI's taxonomy places the organism in Eukaryota, Metazoa, Chordata, Mammalia, Carnivora, Mustelidae. The record is from Ensembl.
GGGCUCACUUUGGCAGCAUAUAUACUAAAAUUAGAAUGAUACAGAGAUAAUCAGCAUGACCUUGUGCAAGAAUGACAUGCAAAUUCCAGAAGCAUUUCAUAAUUUU